Cervus elaphus (red deer) is the source of this 491-nucleotide non-coding RNA. Lineage: Eukaryota; Metazoa; Chordata; Mammalia; Artiodactyla; Cervidae. The record is from the annotation of a RefSeq genome assembly.
CUCCCCCUGUCAGAGUAUGAAGAGGGGAAGGAGCGGUGUGGGGACGCUCUGCUCAGCUGUGGGGCCACAGAAGGCAGGACGCCCUGACCAUGUCCACCAUGGCCUGGUGCCCUCUUCUCCUCACCCUGGUCGCUCUCUGCACAGGAUCCUGGGCCCAGACUGUACUGACUCAGCCGUCCUCCGUGUCUGGGUCUCCGGGCCAGAGGGUCAGCAUCACCUGCUCUGGAAGCAGCAGCAAUGUUGGUUAUGGUAAUUAUGUGGGCUGGUACCAACAGCUCCCAGGAUCGGCCCCCAGAACCCUCAUCUAUGAUGCAACCAGUCGAGUCUCGGGGGUCCCCGACCGAUUCUCCGGCUCCAGGUCUGGGAACACAGCCACCCUGACCAUCAGUUCGCUCCAGGCUGAGGACGAGGGUGAUUAUUACUGUGCAUCUUAUGACAGUGGUAGCAUUACAAUAAUAUUUUCGGCAGCGGGACCAAGCUGACCGUCCUGG